RNAcentral lists this small RNA (538 nucleotides) under Histoplasma capsulatum. RNAcentral describes it as "hypothetical RNA". RNAcentral also lists the same sequence under 1 other name. The record is from RNAcentral. Lineage: Eukaryota; Fungi; Ascomycota; Eurotiomycetes; Onygenales; Ajellomycetaceae.
AACAGCUUUAUCAGCCAAAAUCACGCCUUGGUAUCCCUCUGAUCCGGACCGGGCGGCUUUUUUUUCUUUUUGGCUUCCUCUCCAUUCCCAAAGUUGAGUUUUUCAUCGAGUCAUCCUUGCCUCGGGUUGCGAAGCCAGCUUGCCAUCGCCUUCGGCUCCAGUUGCAGUCAGCUUCCGUAAAUUAUCGGUACGAGUAUGGUCCAGCGAUAGGGGUGUGAUUGACUACUUCUUAUAGGUAGUCCGUGUCUCCGCCGGCCAUCAACUGUACUCCCGCAAACUUAUCUGCAUAUCUAAUUCCUUACUUCCUUCUUGAAUGAAGUCUGAGUUCAAAAAUGGGAAAGAAUUGGAAUAGCUGAAUAUCAGUCCUGCACUUUUGCCUGUGGUACGAUGCUCAUGCGAGUUAGCUCGCCAAAAAUAAGUUAAUAAAGAUAGUGAAAAUGAAUGAACGGACCCAAAAACUGCUUUAAAUCUCAUCAUACACAUAGCACGGCAUAAUCCAGAUCGAAAUGAACUCCCAUAAUACACUCUUUGCAUGCAG